Molecule: transfer RNA, 83 nt
Filed under: uncultured phage cr85_1
Lineage: Duplodnaviria; Heunggongvirae; Uroviricota; Caudoviricetes; Crassvirales; Steigviridae
Description: crAssphage cr85_1 tRNA-Leu
Rfam family: tRNA
About the family: Transfer RNA (tRNA) molecules are approximately 80 nucleotides in length. Their secondary structure includes four short double-helical elements and three loops (D, anti-codon, and T loops).
Source: RNAcentral
GCCCAAGUAUGCGAAUUGGUAUAGCAGCAGCACUUAGGAUGCUGUGGGUAAGACAUUGUGGGUUCGACUCCCACCUUGGGUAC